AGCAGCCGCGGUAAUUCCAGCUCCAAUAGCGUAUAUUAAAGUUGUUGCAGUUAAAAAGCUCGUAGUUGAAUUUCGGGAUUGACGUGAUGGUCAUGCCUUAAGGGGUAUGAACUGUUACUGUUGAUUUCUCACCUUCUGGAGAAACUUGAUGUCCUUUAUUGGGUGUCUUGCGGAUCCAGGACCUUUACCUUGAAAAAAUUAGAGUGUUUAAAGCAGGCAUUUUUGCUCGAAUACAUUAGCAUGGAAUAAUAGAAUAGGACGGCAUGGUUCUAUUUUGUUGGUUUCUAGGAUCACCGUAAUGAUUAAUAGGGAUAGUUGGGGGCAUUAGUAUUCAAUUGUCAGAGGUGAAAUUCUUGGAUUUAUUGAAGACUAACUACUGCGAAAGCAUUUGCCAAGGAUGUUUUCAUUAAUCAAGAACGAGAGUUAGGGGAUCGAAGACGAUCAGAUACCGUCGUAGUCUUAACCAUAAACUAUGCCGACUAGGAAUCAGACGAUGUUAAUUUUUUAAUGACUCGUUUGG
Molecule: unclassified non-coding RNA, 520 nt
Filed under: uncultured Glomus
Lineage: Eukaryota; Fungi; Glomeromycota; Glomeromycetes; Glomerales; Glomeraceae
Also listed under: 1 other name
Description: SSU rRNA
Rfam family: Eukaryotic small subunit ribosomal RNA
Source: RNAcentral